AGAUUUGAACAGUCUCAAGUGUAACCAGUCGAAACUGUAAGGAUGAUUUCGAAACUUGACUGAUGAGGAAAGACUGCGAAUGACCCGUCCUUGCUUUUUUCCUGUCCGUCUUUGUAUUGUCUAUCUGACCAGAUCGGAAGAGCGCCGU
Long non-coding RNA from Octopus sinensis (East Asian common octopus), 148 nucleotides. RefSeq lists it as uncharacterized. The record is from RefSeq and is a predicted model, not a curated record. NCBI's taxonomy places the organism in Eukaryota, Metazoa, Mollusca, Cephalopoda, Octopoda, Octopodidae. The transcript has 3 exons.